CAUGAACUCACCGUAGUUUGUUUACGUGUAUAACGUUCUCUGACUUUCUAAGACGUGUUUCAUGCCACUUCUUUUUCCGUCUCAUUUUGUCCACCAAACUUUUAAGCUUGUGCAUGAAUGCACAAAGGUGGUGUCUUCUGCAUUGAUGCUUUUUCAAGAAAUUCUCAAACCAAUUGACUCAAGAGAUUCCACGACGCAUGAGGUUUCUUGCGACCAUCACAAGCAGCCGCCAUCUUGUCCUUGCAGCGUCUUCACCGUCGUACCCUCCAUCCAUCCAUUUUCUACCGCUUAUUCCCUUUUUUUGGGGUCGCGGGGGGCGCUGGCGCCUAUCUCAGCUACAAUCGGGCGGAAGGCGGGGUACACCCUGGACAAGUCGCCACCUCAUCGCAGGACCGUCGUACCAGUAAGC
Long non-coding RNA from Nerophis ophidion (straightnose pipefish), 409 nucleotides. RefSeq lists it as uncharacterized. Lineage: Eukaryota; Metazoa; Chordata; Actinopteri; Syngnathiformes; Syngnathidae. The record is from RefSeq and is a predicted model, not a curated record. The transcript is spliced from 3 exons.